CUAGAACUGCCAUUGAAGGUCAUCAAAACCAACAUUGCUAUAAAGAAGCACCCUUCAUGUUUCGUUUGCUUCUGCAGAGUGUUUGCUGCAAAAUGACAGAGUGGGUGAGGCUGAAACAAUUGAAAUGUCCAGCACCAGGAUGUCCUUCGACCAAGCUUGUAGAUUGGGUUUGCGCAAAAGAUAAAAAUAAUACUUACCUCAACGAAAAUGGCGAAAUUAAAUGUGCUAAAAGUGAGAACGGGGA
This is a long non-coding RNA of Dreissena polymorpha, 244 nucleotides long. RefSeq lists it as uncharacterized. NCBI's taxonomy places the organism in Eukaryota, Metazoa, Mollusca, Bivalvia, Myida, Dreissenidae. The record is from RefSeq and is a predicted model, not a curated record. The transcript is spliced from 3 exons.